Molecule: non-coding RNA, 505 nt
Organism: Prunus avium (sweet cherry)
Lineage: Eukaryota; Viridiplantae; Streptophyta; Magnoliopsida; Rosales; Rosaceae
Source: RefSeq, a predicted model, not a curated record
AUCUAACACACAAAUUUAAGGGGCUUCUUGCUCUCAGAUGGCAACAAUUAGCUUUUUUCUUGUCUCAAUCUCAUACAACUUUAUGGAUGAUGAGGAUUAUGAAGUUUGAGCUAGCCAAACAACAAGUGCGACUCGCUAUCAAUCUUAAACCUUCAGCAAACCAAAAAUGCAAGGCAAAUAAAAGCAACUAACUGACAAUUGGAUGUUUACUUGGUGUUGUACUGCAGAAAGAGUGGGCAAUUGAAAUCAGCAGCCCCAUUUGAACUUCUGCAGCCAUAUAUGAAGAGGAUGCAAUUUUCAUGUGAUAUAUGUUGAUCAAGAUUGGUAUGAUUUGGGUGGCUCCAACCGUGAAGGAAGUGUUAGGCUGGUAAUGGGCUUACUUGGAAGUGUUAUGAGGAAAGUAAAGCUUCUAAGGGAUGAAGUCCUUAUAAUUGAGAUUUGAGACUAUAUUACUAGAUAACUUGUUUAUUUUUAGCAUAUUUAAUUUGAAUUUUAAUUCAUAUAG